UCUUCUACGUUUAUGCGUAGCUCGUAAUCGAUACCUCACACUCUAGACACGUAGCCAACGGUAACGGCAAAAAAUUCUUAUAUGGAUGGUUUCUUACAGUAUGGUUCUGCUCACUCCAUGGGCGUAAUUCAUGGCAGGGCCCCAAUUAUCAAAACUGGAGUUUAUUCGAAGUUUUUGUUCCUUUUUAAGGUUUUUGUUGCUUUUUUCAGAUUUUUUUUGUCAUGAAUCCAGCAUCCUGAGCCUGUUUUGCCAGUGUUUUGUUUUUGCUCUAACCUGAAGUUCGUUUUUCCUGAGUUUUCCUGAACACAUCCCAGCUGAUUCUCCAACAACUUACACCUGCUGCAAUCUGCACACCCGGUCCUGAUUAUCAUCCUCUGCACCAUAUAAGCCGUGACCAGACAUCCAUUCCCUGCCGGAUCGUUAGCGUAAUCAUUACUCACCUGGAUUGUCACUCACACCUGCCUGGCUGUCUACUUCACUGCAGCACAUUUGGAUCAGCACAAAACCCUCCAGCCUUCCAGCCUCACUCCCUGCCGACCAACUGGACCAAAUCAUUUCCACAUUCAAUUUCCAAAUAAAUACUCACCUUGUAAUUUCUA
Sander lucioperca (pikeperch) is the source of this 599-nucleotide long non-coding RNA. RefSeq lists it as uncharacterized. The record is from RefSeq and is a predicted model, not a curated record. The transcript is spliced from 2 exons. NCBI's taxonomy places the organism in Eukaryota, Metazoa, Chordata, Actinopteri, Perciformes, Percidae.